This 1372-nucleotide ribosomal RNA is filed under the name uncultured bacterium. RNAcentral's name for it is "bacterial SSU rRNA". It matches the Rfam family "Bacterial small subunit ribosomal RNA", at positions 28 to 1381 of the family's 1533-position model. The record is from RNAcentral.
GAUGAACGCUGGCGGCGUGCCUAAUACAUGCAAGUCGAGCGAACGGACGAGAAGCUUGCUUCUCUGAUGUUAGCGGCGGACGGGUGAGUAACACGUGGAUAACCUACCUAUAAGACUGGGAUAACUUCGGGAAACCGGAGCUAAUACCGGAUAAUAUUUUGAACCGCAUGGUUCAAAAGUGAAAGACGGUCUUGCUGUCACUUAUAGAUGGAUCCGCGCUGCAUUAGCUAGUUGGUAAGGUAACGGCUUACCAAGGCAACGAUGCAUAGCCGACCUGAGAGGGUGAUCGGCCACACUGGAACUGAGACACGGUCCAGACUCCUACGGGAGGCAGCAGUAGGGAAUCUUCCGCAAUGGGCGAAAGCCUGACGGAGCAACGCCGCGUGAGUGAUGAAGGUCUUCGGAUCGUAAAACUCUGUUAUUAGGGAAGAACAUAUGUGUAAGUAACUGUGCACAUCUUGACGGUACCUAAUCAGAAAGCCACGGCUAACUACGUGCCAGCAGCCGCGGUAAUACGUAGGUGGCAAGCGUUAUCCGGAAUUAUUGGGCGUAAAGCGCGCGUAGGCGGUUUUUUAAGUCUGAUGUGAAAGCCCACGGCUCAACCGUGGAGGGUCAUUGGAAACUGGAAAACUUGAGUGCAGAAGAGGAAAGUGGAAUUCCAUGUGUAGCGGUGAAAUGCGCAGAGAUAUGGAGGAACACCAGUGGCGAAGGCGACUUUCUGGUCUGUAACCGACGCUGAUGCGCGAAAGCGUGGGGAUCAAACAGGAUUAGAUACCCUGGUAGUCCACGCCGUAAACGAUGAGUGCUAAGUGUUAGGGGGUUUCCGCCCCUUAGUGCUGCAGCUAACGCAUUCAGCACUCCGCCUGGGGAGUACGACCGCAAGGUUGAAACUCAAAGGAAUUGACGGGGACCCGCACAAGCGGUGGAGCAUGUGGUUUAAUUCGAAGCAACGCGAAGAACCUUACCAAAUCUUGACAUCCUUUGACAACUCUAGAGAUAGAGCCUUCCCCUUCGGGGGACAAAGUGACAGGUGGUGCAUGGUUGUCGUCAGCUCGUGUCGUGAGAUGUUGGGUUAAGUCCCGCAACGAGCGCAACCCUUAAGCUUAGUUGCCAUCAUUAAGUUGGGCACUCUAAGUUGACUGCCGGUGACAAACCGGAGGAAGGUGGGGAUGACGUCAAAUCAUCAUGCCCCUUAUGAUUUGGGCUACACACGUGCUACAAUGGACAAUACAAAGGGCAGCGAAACCGCGAGGUCAAGCAAAUCCCAUAAAGUUGUUCUCAGUUCGGAUUGUAGUCUGCAACUCGACUACAUGAAGCUGGAAUCGCUAGUAAUCGUAGAUCAGCAUGCUACGGUGAAUACGUUCCCGGGUCU